Molecule: long non-coding RNA, 697 nt
Organism: Trichomycterus rosablanca
Lineage: Eukaryota; Metazoa; Chordata; Actinopteri; Siluriformes; Trichomycteridae
Exons: 3
Source: RefSeq, a predicted model, not a curated record
GUUUACACUGAACGCCAGAGCAAGGCCGCUGCCAUGGGACCGUCUAUUCAUUAAUACACAGCCUGAUUCUAAAAUAUACGUGCGUUCUUAUAGCGCACACUUUCAUGAAACAGGGCGUCUCGCCUGCCCGUGAAGGAACGCGCAAAAAAAAAAAAAAAAAAAAAAAAAAAAACAGCACGAAGAGAAUGAGAAAGGAUGCUCUCAGACGAUCAACUUUUAAAACUCAACGCUUCUUUUGAAAUGAAAAUAAUAGCGGUGCCGAGGAGAGCUCUCCGCUCAGUCGAGGCAGAGGGAAGAAAAUCUUAGGAAGGACCAAGUCAGAGGGAGACACAGCCUGACACAGACUGAGGCUUAAAAGACAACAUUUAAGACAUUUUUCCAGAACUGGGAAGGACGGGGUGACCUUCAUUUCUUCCCCUUCUCUAUAUCAAUCUAUCCCUUUUUCUUGAGCACUGGGGCCUCUACGCUGGACCGUGUCUUACUCCACAGCUGAGGGACCAAGUGGCCAUGCUGCGAACACACAAAAACACAAACACACACACAUAUACUGUACACACUAAAACACACAUACACUCAUGUAUACUUCACUUUUUCUCUCUUUACACACACACACACACACGCACGCACACACUGUCUACCCUGUUUCCGCUUUCAGCUCGCACUACCGCUGCGGCCCUUCGCCUGCUGGCUAUUUUUC